Molecule: ribosomal RNA, 1052 nt
Filed under: Murispora hawksworthii
Lineage: Eukaryota; Fungi; Ascomycota; Dothideomycetes; Pleosporales; Amniculicolaceae
Description: SSU rRNA
Rfam family: Eukaryotic small subunit ribosomal RNA
Source: RNAcentral
AGCCAUGCAUGUCUAAGUAUAAGCAAAUUAUACCGUGAAACUGCGAAUGGCUCAUUAAAUCAGUUAUCGUUUAUUUGAUAGUACCUUACUACAUGGAUAACCGUGGUAAUUCUAGAGCUAAUACAUGCUAAAAACCCCAACUUCGGGAGGGGUGUAUUUAUUAGAUAAAAAACCAAUGCCCUUCGGGGCUCUUUGGUGAUUCAUAGUAACUUAACGGAUCGCAUGGCCUUGCGCCGGCGACGGUUCAUUCAAAUUUCUGCCCUAUCAACUUUCGAUGGUAAGGUAUUGGCUUACCAUGGUUUCAACGGGUAACGGGGAAUUAGGGUUCGAUUCCGGAGAGGGAGCCUGAGAAACGGCUACCACAUCCAAGGAAGGCAGCAGGCGCGCAAAUUACCCAAUCCCGACACGGGGAGGUAGUGACAAUAAAUACUGAUACAGGGCUCUUUUGGGUCUUGUAAUCGGAAUGAGUACAAUUUAAACCCCUUAACGAGGAACAAUUGGAGGGCAAGUCUGGUGCCAGCAGCCGCGGUAAUUCCAGCUCCAAUAGCGUAUAUUAAAGUUGUUGCAGUUAAAAAGCUCGUAGUUGAACCUUGGGCCUGGCUGGCCGGUCCGCCUCACCGCGUGUACUGGUCCGGCCGGGCCUUUCCUUCUGGAGAACCCCAUGCCCUUCACUGGGUGUGCGGGGGAACCAGGACUUUUACUGUGAAAAAAUUAGAGUGUUCAAAGCAGGCCUUUGCUCGAAUACGUUAGCAUGGAAUAAUAGAAUAGGACGUGCGGUUCUAUUUUGUUGGUUUCUAGGACCGCCGUAAUGAUUAAUAGGGAUAGUCGGGGGCAUCAGUAUUCAAUUGUCAGAGGUGAAAUUCUUGGAUUUAUUGAAGACUAACUACUGCGAAAGCAUUUGCCAAGGAUGUUUUCAUUAAUCAGUGAACGAAAGUUAGGGGAUCGAAGACGAUCAGAUACCGUCGUAGUCUUAACCGUAAACUAUGCCGACUAGGGAUCGGGCGAUGUUUCUAUCUUGACUCGCUCGGCACCUUACGAGAAAUCAAAGUUUU